Molecule: non-coding RNA, 130 nt
Organism: Musa acuminata subsp. malaccensis (wild Malaysian banana)
Lineage: Eukaryota; Viridiplantae; Streptophyta; Magnoliopsida; Zingiberales; Musaceae
Source: Rfam
AGAAAAGCAGGGGUAUGUUUUUUACCAUAAACAAGCCUCUCGUAGACUUUAGGGAAAUUAUAUUCAUUGUUAUUGGGUGAACCUUUGUACAUUGUUAAUGGCAGAUGGUUCAGUAAACAAUGAAACAUUG